Molecule: transfer RNA, 76 nt
Filed under: Nitrospina sp.
Lineage: Bacteria; Pseudomonadati; Nitrospinota; Nitrospinia; Nitrospinales; Nitrospinaceae
Description: tRNA-His
Rfam family: tRNA
About the family: Transfer RNA (tRNA) molecules are approximately 80 nucleotides in length.
Source: RNAcentral
GUGAGCGUAGCUCAGCUGGUAGAGCACUCGGUUGUGGUCCGAGCGGUCGCGGGUUCAAAUCCCGUCGCUCACCCCA